AGGCCUAGAUUACAUUGGAC
RNAcentral lists this microRNA (20 nucleotides) under Medicago truncatula (barrel medic). Its description in RNAcentral is "mtr-miR2088-5p". The record is from miRBase by way of RNAcentral. Lineage: Eukaryota; Viridiplantae; Streptophyta; Magnoliopsida; Fabales; Fabaceae.